This 466-nucleotide ribosomal RNA is filed under the name uncultured bacterium. RNAcentral's name for it is "bacterial SSU rRNA". It matches the Rfam family "Bacterial small subunit ribosomal RNA", at positions 36 to 518 of the family's 1533-position model. The record is from RNAcentral.
CUGGCGGCGUGCCUAACACAUGCAAGUCGAGCGAGGAGAUUCCUUCGGGAUGAUCCUAGCGGCGGACGGGUGAGUAACACGUGGGCAACCUGCCUCAUAGAGAGGAAUAGCCUUCCGAAAGGGAGAUUAAUACCUCAUAACAUUGCAGUUUCGCAUGGAACAGCAAUUAAAGGAGUAAUCCGCUAUGAGAUGGGCCCGCGGCGCAUUAGCUAGUUGGUGAGGUAACGGCUCACCAAGGCGACGAUGCGUAGCCGACCUGAGAGGGUGAUCGGCCACAUUGGGACUGAGACACGGCCCAGACUCCUACGGGAGGCAGCAGUGGGGAAUAUUGCACAAUGGGGGAAACCCUGAUGCAGCCAACGCCGCGUGAGUGAUGACGGCCUUCGGGUUGUAAAGCUCUGUCUUCAGGGACGAUAAUGACGGUACCUGAGGAGGAAGCCACGGCUAACUACGUGCCAGCAGCUGC